Molecule: non-coding RNA, 1277 nt
Organism: Microcebus murinus (gray mouse lemur)
Lineage: Eukaryota; Metazoa; Chordata; Mammalia; Primates; Cheirogaleidae
Source: RefSeq, a predicted model, not a curated record
UAUAUUAAAUGCCUUUGUAUUCCUUUCCACAAAUAAGAUAGAAAAUGUAUAAAUAAGUGCUCAGUAAAUGCUUGUUGAGUAGAUGACUGAAUAAACAAACAGAAACUUUCUGAAAACUAAGAUGACUUUUAUUUGGUAGCUAUUUGAUAUUGGCAUUGGUAAAUAAAACUGCGAACAUUUCUGUUGCAAAGGUAACACAGCUUUGUGGCUACAAUUCAGUGAUAGUACCAUUCUAAUAAAUAAAGGGCCCAUCUGCUGACUAGGAUAACACUGGGGAGGGGGGAACAAACUGAAUCAACUUGAUAAAUGGAAUUUCCAAUACGGUGAUAAAUUCAGGAUGUUACACUAACUCAGAGGAAGGGACUUUCAGUGUUCAAGGUGACAGCCAGGCCCUCAUUGCACACUGUGUAAUCAAAGUGUCUUGAGGUGCAGGUGCUUUGCCCUAAUGACUCUAUAGAGCUGUGAUAGCAGUUGAGAAAAUCUGUUUUAUGUGAUCUGAUUCUUUCUUUUGACAGAAAAGCUUCCUUUUGUGAACAAGAGGGUUUUGGAACAUCACCAAAUGAUUUUUCAUACCCAGAUUAAAAGCUUUAAUCUUGAAGACUGUUCCUAACUAGUAUUCAGCCUGAAAUAAUGAAUGCAAUUAGAAUCUUAAAGAACAGAAAUAACCUGGCACUGACACUGCAAUGUGGAGGCAGAGUAAAAAAAAGGCUACAUGCUCUUUAACGAUGACAGAUGUUCUUUUCUAUGGACCUUUGAGGAGGUGAUAGAUGGAGCUCUAGCAAGUCAUCUGUGACCACGAGUCAAUGCUGAAGAUGGAAAACAGAUAUAAACAGAGAAAGAUGACAAAAGGAGUCUAAGUCCCUAAUGAUCAUGGAUCUCCCAUAUUACUCCUGGUCUACCUCCUUCUCAGGUAAUCAAAUCCGGUGGCCUCUCAAAACAGCAUCCUUUUCCAACCCAUUUUGGAUUUCAAUUAUUCAACAAGCAUCUAGCAAAUAUCUACUAUAUGUGAAGCAUUGGAGUGGGUGCCAUAGUAAUCGAACACCAGCAUCUGCCCUUCGGGAGUUCACAAUCUAGUAAGAAAAAGGGAAAUGCCUAUUAAUCUAAAUUAAUAAAAGACAGCGUAUGCAAAGGGCCAAAAUGAGACUAAACUGAAAUGCCACAAACCACAGGAGAAGGAUGUGUGAAGGAUCUCGGAGAGGUGGGCUAUGGAGAAGGACUGCAAUAGGCAUGUAUAGAAAUGGAAACACAUUCCAGCAAAGGGACUCAACCUUCACCCU